Canis lupus familiaris (dog) is the source of this 816-nucleotide long non-coding RNA. RefSeq lists it as uncharacterized. Lineage: Eukaryota; Metazoa; Chordata; Mammalia; Carnivora; Canidae. The transcript is spliced from 3 exons. The record is from RefSeq and is a predicted model, not a curated record.
AUGGUUUCUUUGGUAUUGACUUGGCCUUUGUCCAGACUUUCUCUUACAUGACUGACCCCUUCCUAUCCCUGCUGUCACUGACUCUUAGGAAGUGUAUAUUGGGCCAUUUGACAUCCUCUCUCUGUUAGACCAGGGACAAUUCGGUUACUCACAGGCAGGUUCAUGAGUCAAUUUUAGGAACGUUACUAUUCUACAUAAUACCCCUGACCUCCCAGGUUGCCAGGACACACUAAACUUUUCCUGAGACAAGGUCCAGUCAACAACUUUAUGGCAGUCCUUCCAAACGAAACUUUGCCUAAUACCUACAAGUCAGUCAUGAGACAGUCAGGGGUUUGGAAAUGUAUCACUUGACUAGAUUUCCAGGUUGAUAACAAGAUGAUAAGCCACUGUGUCAUCCAGGAGGUUCCAAAGUCCAGAUUACAUUCACAGGCAACUUUCUGCAGCUCCCCUUCCUGGGUCCUCAAGUUCUCCCCUCCAAAACCAAAGCCCAGUAGGGGGCACCUUCCCAAAGCUAAACCUAAGAAACCAUAGCCUGCCCAGCUUAAAGCAAAAUGAAAAGAAGUUCUGUCUCUGGGCUGACUGCACCCCUGCUCUUUAAACUGCUGGAUGGUGAAGGGCAGGAAACCACUUAGACGAAGAUGCCCAUGGGAAGGCUACAGAUCAGACUACCAUGAGGAAACAAGAACAAAUCAGGAAGUAUCUGUUGUGGAGCCCACUAGGAAGGGAUCCACUUCUGUUCAACAUCGCAAAUUCCUUUCUUUUGCAGUUUUAAGCUAAAUUUUAUCUUGCUUAGAACAACUUUAACAAUGUAAUAAA